Molecule: long non-coding RNA, 839 nt
Filed under: Gallus gallus (chicken)
Lineage: Eukaryota; Metazoa; Chordata; Aves; Galliformes; Phasianidae
Source: RNAcentral
AGGGCGUGUGAAGCACGUGGGCCGUUCAGACGAGGAGAAACGCAAGCUAACUCAUACAGCUGUGCCUUCUGUGCCUGCGAACUUGACCAUGGAGUGAUGGUAUGAUCUCUUCAAAAGAACUGCCUUCUGAUUUCUUCUCCACACUCCAUAGAUACUGAAGAGUCAAGAUUAAUGGCGCUCUAACCUUCUCAAAGCACCCAAGUUCUGGCAGUGCUCCACUCAACCCCACCCCUCCUGCUGAUAUCCUUCUGGCAGAAGCAAGGGGUGGCCGAGAGCCUUCAAAACAGUUCCCCACAACUUUUUCACAGCUUCUAUUACCUCUUCUGAAUGCAUCUGGAAAGGUACAGAUGAAGAGAGAAUACCUCCACAAGUCUACUGGAUCUAGAUGGCAUAAUUACAGAAGAGUAAGAGGAUGAGUCCCAGACCUGAACAACUGGUAAAUAUUUCAGAUACCAAUAUCAACUUCUUAGCCAGGCAACAGGGAAAGGAGCAAAAUAGGAUUUCUCAAGCAACCAGAUGUUCCACAAAGCACUGAGAGGUAGGCAGAUGUUUGCUACAUUAAACUUGCCUCUAAGAAAACAAUGGGAGAACAUUUUAAAAUUCUUAUGCAAAUUUCACUCAUUCAACUCUUUCUCAGAGGCCUGGGGACAAUGAAAAAAAUAAAAAGGAAGAUAAUUCACAUGCUCAUCUCAAUAUGAUACUCAUCAAAAUACUUCUCGCCUUUCUCCAUAGGGAUUGUGCAAAGCUGAUUCACGCUUAGUCCUCAGUAAAUCUCUCUAAGCCUGAAGAAGUUAAAGAAAGCAUUAAAUCCAUGAUACUUUAACAAGGGUGAGGUAUCC